GUUACCCUACGGGGCGCAGCAGUGAGGAAUAUUGGUCAAUGGUCGGGAGACUGAACCAGCCAAGCCGCGUGAGGGAGGAAGGUACAGAGUAUCGUAAACCUCUCUUGUCAGGGAACAAAGGCGGGGACGUGUCCCCGGAUGAGUGUACCUGAAGAAAAAGCAUCGGCUAACUCCGUGCCAGCAGCCGCGGUAAUACGGAGGAUGCGAGCGUUAUCCGGAUUUAUUGGGUUUAAAGGGUGCGCAGGCGGUCCGUUAAGUCAGCGGUCAAAGCCCGGGGCUCAACCCCGGCCCGCCGUUGCAACUGG
Molecule: ribosomal RNA, 305 nt
Filed under: uncultured bacterium
Lineage: Bacteria
Description: bacterial SSU rRNA
Rfam family: Bacterial small subunit ribosomal RNA
Source: RNAcentral